ACUCAAAGGAAUUGACGGGGGCUCACACAAGCGGUGGAGCAUGUGGCUUAAUUCGAAGCAACGCGAAGAACCUUAUCCUGGGUUUGACAUGUAUGGAUGCCCUCGAUGAAAGUCGAGUAAGCUGCCUUCGGGUGAAACAUACACAGGUGCUGCAUGGCUGUCGUCAGCUCGUGUCGUGAGAUGUUGGGUUAAGUCCCUUAACGAGCGAAACCCUUGUCGUUAGUUACCAUCGAGCCUUCGGGUGUCGGGGACUCUAACGAGACUGCCGGUGUCAAACCGGAGGAAGGUGGGGAUGACGUCAAGUCCUCAUGGCCUUUAUGCCCAGGGCUGCACACGUGCUACAAUGGCGCGGACAAACCGAUGCAAGACCGUGAGGUGGAGCAAAUCGGAAAAACCGCGUCUCAGUUCGGAUUGCAGGCUGCAACUCGCCUGCAUGAAGUCGGAAUCGCUAGUAAUCGCAGAUCAGCUACGCUGCGGUGAAUAAGUUCCUGAGCCUUGUACACACCGCCCGU
RNAcentral lists this ribosomal RNA (512 nucleotides) under uncultured bacterium. RNAcentral's name for it is "bacterial SSU rRNA". It matches the Rfam family "Bacterial small subunit ribosomal RNA", at positions 899 to 1397 of the family's 1533-position model. The record is from RNAcentral.